AUGUACCACUCGUACACUGCGGUUCUGAGCGCGCCGUCCGCGCCCACCUGACGGCUGCUCGCUACGUUUUGUCAGCC
This 77-nucleotide small RNA is filed under the name Xanthomonas citri. RNAcentral describes it as "sX9 sRNA". It matches the Rfam family "Xanthomonas sRNA sX9". The record is from RNAcentral. Lineage: Bacteria; Pseudomonadati; Pseudomonadota; Gammaproteobacteria; Lysobacterales; Lysobacteraceae. RNAcentral also lists the same sequence under 7 other names.